ACUUAAAUUGAAGAGUUUGAUCAUGGCUCAGAUUGAACGCUGGCGGCAGGCCUAACACAUGCAAGUCGAACGGUAGCACAGAGAGCUUGCUCUCGGGUGACGAGUGGCGGACGGGUGAGUAAUGUCUGGGAAACUGCCUGAUGGAGGGGGAUAACUACUGGAAACGGUGGCUAAUACCGCAUAACGUCGCAAGACCAAAGAGGGGGACCUUCGGGCCUCUUGCCAUCAGAUGUGCCCAGAUGGGAUUAGCUGGUUGGUGAGGUAACGGCUCACCAAGGCGACGAUCCCUAGCUGGUCUGAGAGGAUGACCAGCCACACUGGAACUGAGACACGGUCCAGACUCCUACGGGAGGCAGCAGUGGGGAAUAUUGCACAAUGGGCGCAAGCCUGAUGCAGCCAUGCCGCGUGU
RNAcentral lists this ribosomal RNA (409 nucleotides) under Salmonella enterica subsp. enterica serovar Agona str. SA-2. Its description in RNAcentral is "bacterial SSU rRNA". It matches the Rfam family "Bacterial small subunit ribosomal RNA", at positions 1 to 404 of the family's 1533-position model. Lineage: Bacteria; Pseudomonadati; Pseudomonadota; Gammaproteobacteria; Enterobacterales; Enterobacteriaceae. The record is from RNAcentral.